GGGGACAUAGUUUAAUUGGUAAAACUACGACUUUGCAAGUCGUUAUCUCAGGUUCGAUUCCUGAUGUCUCCA
RNAcentral lists this transfer RNA (72 nucleotides) under Antarctomyces psychrotrophicus. Its description in RNAcentral is "tRNA-Ala". It matches the Rfam family "tRNA". From Rfam's summary of the family: Transfer RNA (tRNA) molecules are approximately 80 nucleotides in length. Their secondary structure includes four short double-helical elements and three loops (D, anti-codon, and T loops). RNAcentral also lists the same sequence under 2 other names. Lineage: Eukaryota; Fungi; Ascomycota; Leotiomycetes; Thelebolales; Thelebolaceae. The record is from RNAcentral.